RNAcentral lists this ribosomal RNA (493 nucleotides) under uncultured bacterium. RNAcentral describes it as "partial 16S ribosomal RNA". It matches the Rfam family "Bacterial small subunit ribosomal RNA", at positions 29 to 508 of the family's 1533-position model. The record is from RNAcentral.
AGUGAACGCUGGCUGUAGGCCUAACACAUGCAAGUCGAACGGCAACACAGUAAGAGCUUGCUCUUACGGGUGGCGAGUGGCGGACGGGUGAGGAAUACAUCGGAAUCUACUUUUUCGUUGGGGGUAACGUAGGGAAACUUACGCUAAUACCGCAUUCGAACUGCGGGUGAAAGCAGGAGGUCUUCGAACCUUUCGCGCUUGCAGGAGCGGGUGUCGGAUUAGCUAGUUGGCGGGGGAAAGGCCGACCAACGCGAAGAUCCGUAGCUGGUCUGAGAGGAUGAUCAGCCACACUGGAACUGAGACACGGUCCAGACUCAUACGGGAGGCAGCAGUGGGGAAUAUUGGACUAUGGGCGCGAGCGUGAUCCAGCCAUACCGCGUGGGUGAAGAAGGUCAUCGGGUUGUAAAGCGCUUUUGUUGGGAAAGAAAAGCAGCAGGUUAAUACCCCGCUGUCCUGACGGUACCCAAAGAAUAAGCACCGGCUAAAUUCGUGC